UAUUUCUCCCCCUUUUUGACAACAUCAAAAAGAUGGUGAAACAUUAAGCACAAAGAUAAGAAUACUCAAAUAUUUCUUAUUGUACUCUGAUUUGCAUGUCAAAUUAUUGCAAGGAUAUGAAUCAUAUAACUCAAGGCAAUAAUAUUAGAAUCAGAUUAAUGAGCAUAGAUCAGAGCCAAUUAAGAUAAUUUCAGAGCAGAACACAUCGAAUGUGAUUUCAAGAAGUUUUCUAAUUUGAUACCACAGAUAGUUUUCUAAUCAAGCGUAGGUGGAAUCUUCCUUAAGUUAAUUCAAGAAGUACCACAAAUAAUAUUCAAGAAAAGCACGAAUGGAAAUCUGACCUCUCUUCAAUAAUAAGUAUGAAAGCUUGUUCAUUUAAGAUCUUUUGCCCA
RNAcentral lists this long non-coding RNA (392 nucleotides) under Phoenix dactylifera (date palm). Its description in RNAcentral is "long non-coding RNA (PDAC_LNC015506)". The record is from RNAcentral. Lineage: Eukaryota; Viridiplantae; Streptophyta; Magnoliopsida; Arecales; Arecaceae.